AAUGAACGCUGGCGGCGUGCUUAACACAUGCAAGUCGAACGAGAAAGAUUGCCUUCGGGUGAUUGAGUAAAGUGGCGCACGGGUGAGUAACGCGUGGGUAAUCUACCUAUAAGUCUGGAAUAACGUUUCGAAAGAGGCGCUAAUACGGGAUAAGACCACAGGCACUUCGGUGCAAGGGGUAAAAGGUGCUUUCGGGCAUCGCUUAUGGAUGAGCCUGCGUGACAUUAGAUUGAUGGUGGGGUAAUGGCCCACCAUAUUGUCUACGAUGUCUAGCUGGUCUGAGAGGAUGAUCAGCCACACUGGGACUGGAACACGGCCCAGACUCCUACGGGAGGCAGCAGUGAGGAAUUUUGCGCAAUGGGGGAAACCCUGACGCAGCAACGCCGCGUGAGUGAUGAAGGCCUUUUGGUUGUAAAGCUCUGUCGCCUGGAAAGAAACCUGAGGGUAGGAAAUGAUCUUCAGCUGACGGUACCAGGAAAGGAAGGACCGGCUAACUCCGUGCCAGCAGCC
This 510-nucleotide ribosomal RNA is filed under the name uncultured bacterium. RNAcentral's name for it is "bacterial SSU rRNA". It matches the Rfam family "Bacterial small subunit ribosomal RNA", at positions 29 to 516 of the family's 1533-position model. The record is from RNAcentral.